This 1752-nucleotide unclassified non-coding RNA is filed under the name Hevea brasiliensis (rubber tree). The record is from RNAcentral. Lineage: Eukaryota; Viridiplantae; Streptophyta; Magnoliopsida; Malpighiales; Euphorbiaceae.
UUAAAAAAAAAAAAAAUACAACACCCUUUCAAACCUCUAUUAAAACAUUGCAUGACACAACUAAAUUAAAACCCUUUGUCAAUAAAUAAUUUCUGUCAACACCACCACCACUGAAAAUCUCAGCCAAUUCCAGAGUUGAUGAAAGGGAAAAUGAAGCACAUCCACCUCGACACACAAGCUAUUAAUGAGAAAGAGAAUUCAUAGGUAUAAUAUGCCAUAAAAAAAUGCAAGAAAACCCGAAUUAUGCCAUCUGAACUUUCCCAAUGGUUUAGGAAUCAAAAUCUCACCCCUCAUCAGAACUUGAAGAAAAGUCCAUAGUAGCCUAUGAAUAUGAAGGCAACUCCCACAAUAUGCAGUACCCUAGGAGGAAGGCAGUUUCCAAAUUAUAUGUUGCCUCAUGAGUAGCUCAUGGAUCAAAUACAAUGGCCAUGUAUUUUUUAUUUCACGUGGCAAAUCUUGGUAACAAUUGUUGUCAUAUAUGUGUUCAGCAUUCAACUCCACUGAUGUGCAGCGAGAUUAGGUCAACCCUAGCAUAUGCAGUUAAAGUUUGUAACUACAUUACUAGAUGUUAACCAUGAUUUCUAAAAUAGUGGAAAUACCACAACGCAUCCAAGGCCAUUUUUCAGAACAUUUGAAGCAAAAAAUUUGGACAGAGAUUUCAGUUUCCAACAUACAAAAUCCUCUGCAGAACAUUAGGUACCAAUGAAGAAUGCAGAUUGUCAAAUCCUCAUGCAAACUACUAAAUCAUAUGCCAACUAGAAAUGGAAGCAGUAUAGCGAAAUGCUGAAACUAUUUUUCUAUAAAAUAAAUUUACAAACCAAACAAACAAGUCAUCAUAUGCCAUCUAGAAAUAGAAGCAGUAUAGGGAGCUGCUGAAACUAUACUUCUAUGAAAUAAAUUAAAAAAAUUAAACAAGUAUUAUGCAUUAGCCAAAACCAUCCAACAUUCAUUUUGCUACCCUCAACAAGCUCCACAUUGUUGUCAUGCAUUCAGAUUCCGCCAAAUAACCACGAAAUCCAGAAAUUUGGGUCAAAUGGCCCGAUUUAAAUAACCCCCUAAUAUACUAAAUUUCCCCUAGCUAACAAACUCUUCACAGGGAUCAAAUUUAAGACAAAAGGAAAGUCAAUGAUGCGAAUGAGUUUUCAAAUGUACAAUCGUCCUACCCAUUUGUACAACAAUAAUAAAACAGGCUAACACACACAUCACAAAGGCCUCCUUUCAUAGGGUAUAUCCCAAGAGUAAAAUAAAAUGUGUAAUCAUAUUCUUUGACACUCACUGAUCAAACAGAAAGCUGUAUAGGCACUGAUAACUUGAAAAAUCAGGUUCACAAACCCCAACAACAACAAAAUGCAUUGAAAUAAGAAGAUAAACUAACAAGAACUUAAUAUAUCCUAUACAUUACAACGGAAAUAAAUAUUCCUUUCCAAUUAACUACUGUUCAAGCACACAUUUGCACGUCAAAAAUUUACAAUACCAAAGUGUCUAAUCAAAAUAAUAAUCAUAAUAAAAAAACUAAUAGCUCAAAAAUCAAAAUGCAAAUAGAUCCAAUUAACUGAAACAAAGACAAAGUGGAAAAAAACCAAUCAUGGAUACCAGAAACCUAUAGUAUAUCCCAAUAUUUAUCGCAUGAUGAAGCAAAUUCAAUAUUAUCCAACAUCUAACGGUAAUCAUAACCAACAAACACCAUUGCCAUCUAAAAAGAGAAUUGCGUUGGGAAUGCUUACCAAAUGAAGAGACUCGAGAUCGAAUUGA